GGGGAUUUAGCUCAGUGGUUCCACCACCUGCCUGGAAAGCACAAGGUCCUGGGUUCAAUUCCCAGUACCUCCC
RNAcentral lists this transfer RNA (73 nucleotides) under Fukomys damarensis (Damara mole-rat). It matches the Rfam family "tRNA". Rfam says of the family: Transfer RNA (tRNA) molecules are approximately 80 nucleotides in length. Their secondary structure includes four short double-helical elements and three loops (D, anti-codon, and T loops). Further hydrogen bonds mediate the characteristic L-shaped molecular structure. tRNAs have two regions of fundamental functional importance: the anti-codon, which is responsible for specific mRNA codon recognition, and the 3' end, to which the tRNAs corresponding amino acid is attached (by aminoacyl-tRNA synthetases). tRNAs cope with the degeneracy of the genetic code in two manners: having more than one tRNA (with a specific anti-codon) for a particular amino acid; and 'wobble' base-pairing, i.e. permitting non-standard base-pairing at the 3rd anti-codon position. Lineage: Eukaryota; Metazoa; Chordata; Mammalia; Rodentia; Bathyergidae. The record is from Rfam by way of RNAcentral.